This 57-nucleotide non-coding RNA is filed under the name Prorocentrum micans. Lineage: Eukaryota; Dinophyceae; Prorocentrales; Prorocentraceae. The record is from RNAcentral.
AAAAAAAAAAAAAAAAAAAAAACAACGUCACCCCGUUUUUUUUUUUUUUUUUUACCA